RNAcentral lists this ribosomal RNA (634 nucleotides) under uncultured Ottowia sp. RNAcentral describes it as "bacterial SSU rRNA". It matches the Rfam family "Bacterial small subunit ribosomal RNA", at positions 897 to 1533 of the family's 1533-position model. The record is from RNAcentral. Lineage: Bacteria; Pseudomonadati; Pseudomonadota; Betaproteobacteria; Burkholderiales; Comamonadaceae.
AAACUUAAAGGAAUUGACGGGGACCCGCACAAGCGGUGGAUGAUGUGGUUUAAUUCGAUGCAACGCGAAAAACCUUACCCACCUUUGACAUGUACGGAAUCCUGCAGAGACGCAGGAGUGCUCGAAAGAGAGCCGUAACACAGGUGCUGCAUGGCUGUCGUCAGCUCGUGUCGUGAGAUGUUGGGUUAAGUCCCGCAACGAGCGCAACCCUUGCCAUUAGUUGCUACGAAAGGGCACUCUAAUGGGACUGCCGGUGACAAACCGGAGGAAGGUGGGGAUGACGUCAAGUCCUCAUGGCCCUUAUAGGUGGGGCUACACACGUCAUACAAUGGCUGGUACAAAGGGUUGCCAACCCGCGAGGGGAGCCAAUCCCACAAAGCCAGUCGUAGUCCGGAUCGCAGUCUGCAACUCGACUGCGUGAAGUCGGAAUCGCUAGUAAUCGUGGAUCAGCAUGUCACGGUGAAUACGUUCCCGGGUCUUGUACACACCGCCCGUCACACCAUGGGAGCGGGUUCUGCCAGAAGUAGUUAGCCUAACCGCAAGGAGGGCGAUUACCACGGCAGGGUUCGUGACUGGGGUGAAGUCGUAACAAGGUAGCCGUAUCGGAAGGUGCGGCUGGAUCACCUCCUUUAUG